Molecule: long non-coding RNA, 358 nt
Filed under: Brassica rapa (field mustard)
Lineage: Eukaryota; Viridiplantae; Streptophyta; Magnoliopsida; Brassicales; Brassicaceae
Description: long non-coding RNA (BRAP_LNC006382)
Source: RNAcentral
GUUCGACAUGUCGACUAUCUAAAAUUCAUAACAUGAAAAUAAACAAAUAAUAUUAAUUUUUGGGUUUACCAAAAAAAAAAUCAAACAUUUUAACUGAAUAAACUAAAAUGAAUAUUAAUUUAAAAUAAUAAUAUUUUAAAAGAUUAAAAACCAAAAAAAAAAUCUUAAAACCGGACAAAUAUCCAAAUUAAACAGAUUUAAUAUCUUUUAUUAAAAAUAAUGAAACUAAUAAUCACAUUCUGCGCAAGGCGUGGAUUAUUCUCUAGUAUUGUUUUAUAAGGUAAAUUGAAAGAAAAUUACUAGAAAACAUAGAAAAUUAUAUUUAUUGCACCCACUGAUUUAUUUUAUACACUUUUUG